RNAcentral lists this ribosomal RNA (484 nucleotides) under uncultured bacterium. RNAcentral describes it as "partial 16S ribosomal RNA". It matches the Rfam family "Bacterial small subunit ribosomal RNA", at positions 30 to 507 of the family's 1533-position model. The record is from RNAcentral.
AUUGAACGCUGGCGGCAGGCCUAACACAUGCAAGUCGAGCGGAUGAAGGGAGCUUGCUCCUGGAUUCAGCGGCGGACGGUGAAGUAUUGCUUAGAAAUUGGCCGGGUAUGGGGGAAUAACUCCCGAAAAGGGGGCCUAUUACGCAUUAGGCCCGAGGGAGCAAAUUGGGGUAUCUUGGCACUUACCGCUAUCAGAUAAGCCUAGGUCGGAUUAGCUAGUGGGUGGGUUAAAGGCCUACCAAGCCGACGAUCCGUAACUGGUCUGAGAGGAUGAUCAGUCACACUGGAACUGAGACACGGUCCAGACUCCUACGGGAGGCAGCAGUGGGGAAUAUUGGACAAUGGGCGAAAGCCUGAUCCAGCCAUGCCGCGUGUGUGAAGAAGGUCUUCGGAUUGUAAAGCACUUUAAGUUGGGAGGAAGGGCAGUAAGUUAAUACCUUGCUGUUUUGACGUUACCAACAGAAUAAGCACCGGCUAACUUCGUG